UAGGGAAUCUUCCGCAAUGGACGAAAGUCUGACGGAGCAACGCCGCGUGAGUGAAGAAGGAUUUCGGUUCGUAAAACUCUGUUGUUAGGGAAGAAAAAAUGUAUAGUAACUAUAUACAAAAGAGACGGUACCUAACCAGAAAGCCACGGCUAACUACGUGCCAGCAGCCGCGGUAAUACGUAGGUGGCAAGCGUUGUCCGGAAUUAUUGGGCGUAAAGCGCGCGCAGGUGGUUUAGAAAGUCUGAUGUGAAAGCCCACGGCUCAACCGUGGAGGGUCAUUGGAAACUAAUAAACUUGAGUGCAGGAGAGAAAAGUGGAAUUCCUAGUGUAGCGGUGAAAUGCGUAGAGAUUAGGAGCAACACCGGUGGCGAAAGCGGCUUUUUGGCCUGCAACUGACACUGAGGCGCGAAAGCGUGGGGAGCAAACAGG
Molecule: ribosomal RNA, 429 nt
Filed under: Verrucomicrobiota bacterium
Lineage: Bacteria; Pseudomonadati; Verrucomicrobiota
Description: Verrucomicrobia bacterium partial 16S ribosomal RNA
Rfam family: Bacterial small subunit ribosomal RNA
Source: RNAcentral